RNAcentral lists this ribosomal RNA (648 nucleotides) under uncultured bacterium. Its description in RNAcentral is "bacterial SSU rRNA". It matches the Rfam family "Bacterial small subunit ribosomal RNA", at positions 1 to 642 of the family's 1533-position model. The record is from RNAcentral.
UAGAGUUUGAUCAUGGCUCAGAUUGAACGCUGGCGGCAGGCCUAACACAUGCAAGUCGAGCGGUAACAUUUCAAAAGCUUGCUUUUGAAGAUGACGAGCGGCGGACGGGUGAGUAAUGCCUAGGAAAUUGCCCUGAUGUGGGGGAUAACCAUUGGAAACGAUGGCUAAUACCGCAUGAUAGCUACGGCUCAAAGAGGGGGACCUUCGGGCCUCUCGCGUCAGGAUAUGCCUAGGUGGGAUUAGCUAGUUGGUGAGGUAAGGGCUCACCAAGGCGACGGUCCCUAGCUGGUCUGAGAGGAUGAUCAGCCACACUGGAACUGAGACACGGUCCAGACUCCUACGGGAGGCAGCAGUGGGGAAUAUUGCACAAUGGGCGCAAGCCUGAUGCAGCCAUGCCGCGUGUGUGAAGAAGGCCUUCGGGUUGUAAAGCACUUUCAGUCGUGAGGAAGGCAGUUGCGUUAAUAGCGUAAUUGUUUGACGUUAGCGACAGAAGAAGCACCGGCUAACUCCGUGCCAGCAGCCGCGGUAAUACGGAGGGUGCGAGCGUUAAUCGGAAUUACUGGGCGUAAAGCGCAUGCAGGUGGUUAGUUAAGUCAGAUGUGAAAGCCCGGGGCUCAACCUCGGAAUAGCAUUUGAAACUGGCUGACU